CUCCUACGGGAGGCUGCAGUAAGGAAUAUUGGUCAAUGGACGAAAGUCUGAACCAGCCAUGCCGCGUGAAGGAUGAAGGCCCUCUGGGUUGUAAACUUCUUUUAUAGGGGACGAAAAAAGAUCAUUCUUGAUCACUUGACGGUACUCUAGGAAUAAGCACCGGCUAACUCCGUGCCAGCAGCCGCGGUAAUACGGAGGGUGCAAGCGUUAUCCGGAUUCACUGGGUUUAAAGGGUGCGUAGGUGGGCUUGUAAGUCAGUGGUGAAAUCUCCGGGCUUAACCCGGAAACUGCCAUUGAUACUAUAGGUCUUGAAUCAUCUGGAGGUGAGCGGAAUAUGUCAUGUAGCGGUGAAAUGCUUAGAUAUGACAUAGAACACCGAUUGCGAAGGCAGCUCACUACGGAUGUAUUGACACUGAGGCACGAAAGCGUGGGGAUCAAACAGGAUUAGAUACCCUGGUAGUCCACGCCCUAAACGAUGGAUACUCGACAUUUGUGAUAUACUAUAAGUGUCUGAGCGAAAGCAUUAA
This 527-nucleotide ribosomal RNA is filed under the name uncultured bacterium. RNAcentral's name for it is "bacterial SSU rRNA". It matches the Rfam family "Bacterial small subunit ribosomal RNA", at positions 336 to 863 of the family's 1533-position model. The record is from RNAcentral.